Molecule: ribosomal RNA, 444 nt
Filed under: uncultured eukaryote
Lineage: Eukaryota
Description: bacterial SSU rRNA
Rfam family: Eukaryotic small subunit ribosomal RNA
Source: RNAcentral
CGGGGUAGAGGCCCGCCGCGGUAACGACGGGUAACGGGGAAUCAGGGUUCGAUUCCGGAGAGGGAGCCCGAGAAACGGCUACCACUUCCAAGGAAGGCAGCAGGCGCGCAACUUACCCUAAUCUCGAUUCGAGGAGGUAGUGACAAGAAAUACCGAUGCGGGGACCCUACGGGUGCCGCGUUCGGAAUGAGUACGAUUCGAACCACCUAACGAGGAACGAUCGGAGGGCAAGUCUGGUGCCAGCAGCCGCGGUAAUUCCAGCUCCAAUAGCGUACGUUAAAGUUGCUGCAGUUAAAAAGCUCGUAGUUGAACGUUCGGGUUCCGCGGGACGGGGCCGCCCCGCGAGGGACGGCGCCGCCCCGGGGCUCGUGAUAUCUCAUCUCGCCGCCCGUCGCGAGGCGGUUUACGGAGGGAUGGAUGAGGUUACCUGGAAAAAAUCGGGGC